UGCCAGACUCCUACGGGAGGCAGCAGUGAGGAAUAUUGGUCAAUGGUCGGGAGACUGAACCAGCCAAGCCGCGUGAGGGAUGAAGGUACAGAGUAUCGUAAACCUCUUUUGUCAGGGAACAAAGGCGGGGACGUGUCCCCGGAUGAGUGUACCUGAAGAAAAAGCAUCGGCUAACUCCGUGCCAGCAGCCGCGGUAAUACGGAGGAUCCAAGCGUUAUCCGGAUUUAUUGGGUUUAAAGGGUGCGUAGGCGGUUUUAUAAGUUAGAGGUGAAAUCUCGGGGCUCAACUCCGAAAUUGCCUCUAAUACUGUAGGACUAGAGAGUAGUUGCGGUAGGCGGAAUGUAUGGUGUAGCGGUGAAAUGCUUAGAGAUCAUACAGAACACCGAUUGCGAAGGCAGCUUACCAAACUAUAUCUGACGUUGAGGCACGAAAGCGUGGGGAGCAAACAGGAUUAGAUACCCGAGUAGC
RNAcentral lists this ribosomal RNA (468 nucleotides) under uncultured bacterium. Its description in RNAcentral is "bacterial SSU rRNA". It matches the Rfam family "Bacterial small subunit ribosomal RNA", at positions 329 to 794 of the family's 1533-position model. The record is from RNAcentral.